GACGAACGCUGGCGGCGUGCUUAACACAUGCAAGUCGAACGGAAAGGCCCUGCUUUUGUGGGGUGCUCGAGUGGCGAACGGGUGAGUAACACGUGAGUAACCUGCCCUUUACUUUGGGAUAACUUCAGGAAACUGGGGCUAAUACCGGAUAGGAGCUCCUGCUGCAUGGUGGGGUUUGGAAAGUUUCGGCGGUUGGGGAUGGACUCGCGGCUUAUCAGCUUGUUGGUGGGGUAGUGGCUUACCAAGGCUUUGACGGGUAGCCGGCCUGAGAGGGUGACCGGCGACAUUGGGACUGAGAUACGGCGCAGACUCCUACGGGAGGCAGCAGUGGGGAAUAUUGCACAAUGGGCGGAAGCCUGAUGCAGCAACGCCGCGUGCGGGAUGACGGCCUUCGGGUUGUAAACCGCAUUCGCCUGUGACGAAGCGUGAGUGACGGUAAUGGGUAAAGAAGCACCGGCUAACUACGUG
This 468-nucleotide ribosomal RNA is filed under the name uncultured bacterium. RNAcentral describes it as "partial 16S ribosomal RNA". It matches the Rfam family "Bacterial small subunit ribosomal RNA", at positions 28 to 507 of the family's 1533-position model. The record is from RNAcentral.